UGGGGAAUAUUGCACAAUGGGCGGAAGCCUGAUGCAGCGACGCCGCGUGAGGGAUGACGGCCUUCGGGUUGUAAACCUCUUUCGACAGGGACGAAGCGCAAGUGACGGUACCUGUAGAAGAAGCGCCGGCCAACUACGUGCCAGCAGCCGCGGUAAGACGUAGGGCGCGAGCGUUGUCCGGAUUUAUUGGGCGUAAAGAGCUCGUAGGCGGCUUGUUGCGUCGGCUGUGAAAACCCGCAGCUUAACUGUGGGCUUGCAGCCGAUACGGGCAGGCUUGAGUUCGGUAGGGGAGACUGGAAUUCCUGGUGUAGCGGUGAAAUGCGCAGAUAUCAGGAGGAACACCGGUGGCGAAGGCGGGUCUCUGGGCCGAUACUGACGCUGAGGAGCGAAAGCGUGGGGAUCGAACAGGAUUAGAUACC
This 419-nucleotide ribosomal RNA is filed under the name uncultured bacterium. RNAcentral describes it as "bacterial SSU rRNA". It matches the Rfam family "Bacterial small subunit ribosomal RNA", at positions 355 to 786 of the family's 1533-position model. The record is from RNAcentral.